UCAUCCAGAUCUAAAACAGAAGUAAACCCCACAUAAUGAGCUGGAGAUCAGAAAAUACACAUUCAGCUCUUAAUGAAGCUUAUUAUCAGAGCAGACAGGCAGUUAUUUAGCUCCAUCUGAUCUUUAUUUUGACAAAAGAAACACAUAAAAGAAGUGACACUCCACUAAUCCGCUGGUGCCAUGAUGAGAGCUGAAUGUGCAAGUGUGGCAUUUUGUUCUUUUUCCCAGCGCUGAAAGUAGACACUUGGUUCCGUAUUUGAAAA
Salarias fasciatus (jewelled blenny) is the source of this 263-nucleotide long non-coding RNA. RefSeq lists it as uncharacterized. The transcript is spliced from 3 exons. The record is from RefSeq and is a predicted model, not a curated record. NCBI's taxonomy places the organism in Eukaryota, Metazoa, Chordata, Actinopteri, Blenniiformes, Blenniidae.